GCUGUGGUGUCCGAGUGGUUAAGGAUAUGGAUUUGAAAUCCAUUGGGCUUUGCCCGCACAGGUUCGAAUCCUGUCUGCAGCG
This 82-nucleotide transfer RNA is filed under the name Penaeus vannamei (Pacific white shrimp). RNAcentral's name for it is "transfer RNA serine (anticodon UGA)". It matches the Rfam family "tRNA". Rfam says of the family: Transfer RNA (tRNA) molecules are approximately 80 nucleotides in length. Lineage: Eukaryota; Metazoa; Arthropoda; Malacostraca; Decapoda; Penaeidae. The record is from Rfam by way of RNAcentral.